RNAcentral lists this long non-coding RNA (2871 nucleotides) under Arabidopsis lyrata. RNAcentral describes it as "long non-coding RNA (ALYR_LNC000373)". The record is from RNAcentral. Lineage: Eukaryota; Viridiplantae; Streptophyta; Magnoliopsida; Brassicales; Brassicaceae.
GAAAUAAUAAAGAUAUUUGGAAUUAUCCUAAUUCUACGCUGCAUCAGGUCUCGCCGGCCAAGAAAAGAUUCGUCCUCGUAUCUUGUAACUGCGCUGCAUCAGCUCUCGCCGGCCAAGAAAGAUUCGACCUCGAAUCUUCAGCAGGGUUUUCAGCAUUGGAGAUCUUCGCAGAUCCAUCUUUAUCUUCAUCUCUUGAUUUUUCCCGAUUUUUGCACGAACUGGAUCAGACCCGAAAGUUGCACGAAUCUGAUUUGACCCAAAAUUUGCACGAAUCCGUUUUGACCCAAAUUUGCACGGACCGGAAUAUGUACGAAACUUGCACAGAUCUGAUCUUUCAUGUUUUCUGCAGGAAACCCGAAUUUUGCACAGAUCUGACUACGCCCGGAUUUUGCACGAAGAGUAUCUUGCCCGAAUUCUGCACAGAUUUUCUCGAACGCACCAUCGCUGAACAUAAAAUCGACAUGAUCAAUAAGUAAGACAUCAUCAUCUUCAUAGAUAUCGUAGAUAGGAUCACCGUAAAUUUCUAUGUAACCAUCUUCAAACAAACUUUCUUCUGCAAAGGGAUAAAAGUUACCACUCAACAUGAUCACCAGAAUCGUUCUUCGAUUGAGAAAUCAAAGAGACAGAGCUCUGAUACCAACUGAAGUAGCGGAAGCUUUAAGGAUAGAACUAGAGAUCCGUUGAUUCCUCGGAAUACCGGAAAACUAGGGUUUGAGAGUCCUCCUCUCAGGGCUUUCGCAAAAGCUCUUAGGGUUGUGAAUACUCUUCACAGUUGUUUAUCAAAACCUCUUUAAAUCUUUCGAUUAAUCAAUUCAUCAAUAACUUCAUACAAUAGGAGGCCUAAGAAGGCUAUUUAUAAUAAAAGCAUAAAACCCUAAAAUCCAUAGAAUAUUCUAGAAUAAUUAUAAUUAAUAAAUUAAAAGAUAAUAGAAAUAGAUAUUUGAAAUAUUUCCAAAUAUCUCGCUGCAUCAGGUCUCGCCGGCCAAGAAAAGAUUCGUCCUAGAAUCUUGUAUCUGCGCUGCAUCAGCUCCCGCCGGCCAAGAAAGAUUCGUCCCCGAAUCUUCAGUAGGGUUUUCAGCAUAGGAGAUCUUCGAAUAUCUGUCUUUAUCUCCAACUUUUGAUUCUGCCCGAAAUUUGCACGAACCAUAUCUGAACCGAAUUUUGCACGACUUGUAUGUUGCACGAAAUUCGCACGAAUAUCUUCUUGUACGAAUUUUGCACAGGUCGGAUAUUGCACGAAAUUUGCACAGAUCGGACUUUCCAUAACUUCUGCAAAAAACACGAAUUUUGCACAAGUCGAAAUUCGCCCAGAUUUUGCACUGUUCUGAUUUCGCCCAUAAUUUGCAGAAAUCAGAAUCUCAAAAGCAUCUUCUAGAAAACCCAAAUCGAUAUCUAUAACAUCUUCUUCAUAGAUAUCAUAGAUGGGACCACCAUAGAUCUCUCUGUAGAUCUCAUGGUUUUCUUCUUCUUCAGAAAACAGACUUUCGCCUGUGAUAGGGUAGACGUUUCCGGUCAACCGUUUAAGGAUAAAACUAGAGAUCCGUUGAUUCCUCGGAAUACCGGAUAACUAGGGUUUCUCGGAUCUGUUGAUUCCUCAGAAUACCAGAAACGAGAGAACGUGAGGAAUUCGUUGAUUCUCCGCGAAUACAGAAUCCUACGUCUUCUUAUAAUCGUUGAGAUCUCUCGAGAUCUACCGAAAACUAGGAUUAGAGAAUACUCUUCCUUGAAAAGCUAAAAGCUCUUUAAUUUUAUUAAUCAAAUCAAUUAUAUACAACCCUAGGCCUAAAAGCCUUAUUUAUAAUAAAUCUAAAAAACUCUAGAAUAUUCAUAAAACAAUAAAUAGAAAUUAUCUAAAUAAUUAAAUAGAGAUAUUAGGAAAUAAUAAAGAUAUUUGGAAUUAUCCUAAUUCUACGCUGCAUCAGAAGAAGAGAGCCAAAUCCUGUAGAAGCAGCUAGCUGAAUAGCCCACCCAUGGUGCGGACCAAACACCUGAUUGUAAGCUUUAUAUGCUGCAUCCUUUAGGGGGCUAUCAGCUCUACAAAUCAUAUUCAAACACAUUUAAAAUCUUUUGAUAUUGACCCAAAAAGAAUAGUUACAACAAGUACUCAGCUAGCUAGCAUGGAAUUAUUGCAACACAUUUAUAUUGUGUUAAUAUAUAGGAGCAUAACCAAGUGAUGGUAGUUCAAUGGUUAGGGCUUAUUCGUCUAUAACAGUAAUUGUUUUCCCCUGGAUGCACAUUCUUUUUUAGCACUACGGAUCGACUAAUCCCAUAGGAGCACACCUGCAUAUCUUCUUAAACAUCUAGAAUAGUGAGAGGCGAGCCCAAGGCCAUACUAGUGAGAGUGCAUAAACCCCAAACAAGCCCAAAGUCCAUAAGCAUCAUUUUAAUUUUUAAGCGAAUGCAAAUUUACGCCUUAAGUCUUAUGUUUAUUAGGGAUAACAAUGUGGUCCUAACAGUAUAUAAGAGAUAUAGGCCAUCCACUAAUUGCUAAUUGAUUUUGAAUUGGAAGCCCAUAUUCUAAUAAUGUUGUCUUCCUACCAUCCGGCCACCAUCCUGAGGUAGGAAAAUAUGUUCCUAACUGAUAGGGCUCGAACCUAGGCCCCCAAGCACAAAGGAACCCCUAGACCACGAGCCUCUCAACACCAGUACAGAAUUCACAUGGUGAGUAUAGAUUUCAAAGAUUAGUUUAGAAUUUCAGUUACAAAAAUGAAAUAUAUAAAAACUUGGAAUGACACAUAUGGAAGAUGGCAAGGCUCGAUUGAAGAUGUCGCAAAACUCACAAAUGAGAGUCUAGAGGAACACUUACUCAGUGGCUAAUGUCUCUUCACAUAGAACCCUUAUCAUUUCUAGACCACGCUUUACCCUCAAAAG